UACAGAGGGGCAAGCGUUGUUCGGAAUUACUGGGCGUAAAGGGCGCGUAGGCGGCCUGUUAAGUCGAACGUGAAAUCCCCGGGCUCAACCCGGGAACUGCGUCCGAUACUGGCAGGCUUGAAUCCGGGAGAGGGAUGGCGGAAUUCCAGGUGUAGCGGUGAAAUGCGUAGAUAUCUGGAGGAACACCGGUGGCGAAGGCGGCAUCCCUGGGACCGGGCAAUUGACGCCUG
Molecule: ribosomal RNA, 230 nt
Filed under: uncultured bacterium
Lineage: Bacteria
Description: partial 16S ribosomal RNA
Rfam family: Bacterial small subunit ribosomal RNA
Source: RNAcentral